RNAcentral lists this ribosomal RNA (443 nucleotides) under uncultured bacterium. RNAcentral describes it as "partial 16S ribosomal RNA". It matches the Rfam family "Bacterial small subunit ribosomal RNA", at positions 338 to 795 of the family's 1533-position model. The record is from RNAcentral.
ACUACGGGAGGCAGCAGUGGGGAAUAUUGGGCAAUGGGCGCAAGCCUGACCCAGCAACGCCGCGUGAAGGAAGAAGGCUUUCGGGUUGUAAACUUCUUUUCUCAGGGACGAAGCAAGUGACGGUACCUGAGGAAUAAGCCACGGCUAACUACGUGCCAGCAGCCGCGGUAAUACGUAGGUGGCAAGCGUUAUCCGGAUUUACUGGGUGUAAAGGGCGUGUAGGCGGGGACGCAAGUCAGAUGUGAAAACCACGGGCUCAACCUGUGGCCUGCAUUUGAAACUGUGUUUCUUGAGUACUGGAGAGGCAGACGGAAUUCCUAGUGUAGCGGUGAAAUGCGUAGAUAUUAGGAGGAACACCAGUGGCGAAGGCGGUCUGCUGGACAGCAACUGACGCUGAGGCGCGAAAGCGUGGGGAGCAAACAGGAUUAGAUACCCGAGUAGUC